AGCCGUGUGGUGAGUACAGAAGCGAACUAUUCUUUCGCCUUUUACUAAAGAAUACCGUGUGCUCGUCACUCAAAGCGGCAUACGCCUAUUUUUGAAGGGGCUUCUCUCUCUUGAGAUGA
This 119-nucleotide small nuclear RNA is filed under the name Amborella trichopoda. Its description in RNAcentral is "snRNA U5". It matches the Rfam family "U5 spliceosomal RNA". From Rfam's summary of the family: U5 RNA is a component of both types of known spliceosome. The precise function of this molecule is unknown, though it is known that the 5' loop is required for splice site selection and p220 binding, and that both the 3' stem-loop and the Sm site are important for Sm protein binding and cap methylation. The record is from Rfam by way of RNAcentral. Lineage: Eukaryota; Viridiplantae; Streptophyta; Magnoliopsida; Amborellales; Amborellaceae.